Molecule: ribosomal RNA, 1139 nt
Filed under: uncultured Synechococcus sp.
Lineage: Bacteria; Bacillati; Cyanobacteriota; Cyanophyceae; Synechococcales; Synechococcaceae
Description: bacterial SSU rRNA
Rfam family: Bacterial small subunit ribosomal RNA
Source: RNAcentral
GCGUGAGGGUGAGGCCUCUGGGCUGUAAACCUCUUUUCUCAAGGAAGAAGAUCUGACGGUACUUGAGGAAUAAGCCACGGCUAAUUCCGUGCCAGCAGCCGCGGUAAUACGGGAGUGGCAAGCGUUAUCCGGAAUUAUUGGGCGUAAAGCGUCCGCAGGCGGCCCUUCAAGUCUGCUGUUAAAACGUGGAGCUUAACUCCAUCAUGGCAGUGGAAACUGUUGGGCUUGAGUGUGGUAGGGGCAGAGGGAAUUCCCGGUGUAGCGGUGAAAUGCGUAGAUAUCGGGAAGAACACCAGUGGCGAAGGCGCUCUGCUGGGCCAUAACUGACGCUCAUGGACGAAAGCCAGGGGAGCGAAAGGGAUUAGAUACCCCUGUAGUCCUGGCCGUAAACGAUGAACACUAGGUGUCGGGGGAAUCGACCCCCUCGGUGUCGUAGCCAACGCGUUAAGUGUUCCGCCUGGGGAGUACGCACGCAAGUGUGAAACUCAAAGGAAUUGACGGGGGCCCGCACAAGCGGUGGAGUAUGUGGUUUAAUUCGAUGCAACGCGAAGAACCUUACCAGGGUUUGACAUCCUGCGAAUCUCUUGGAAACGAGAGAGUGCCUCCGGGAACGCAGUGACUGGUGGUGCAUGGCUGUCGUCAGCUCGUGUCGUGAGAUGUUGGGUUAAGUCCCGCAACGAGCGCAACCCACGUCUUUAGUUGCCAGCAUUUAGUUGGGCACUCUAGAGAGACCGCCGGUGAUAAACCGGAGGAAGGUGUGGAUGACGUCAAGUCAUCAUGCCCCUUACAUCCUGGGCUACACACGUACUACAAUGCUACGGACAAAGAGCAGCAAGUUCGCGAGGACAAGCAAAUCUCAUAAACCGUGGCUCAGUUCAGAUCGUAGGCUGCAACUCGCCUACGUGAAGGAGGAAUCGCUAGUAAUCGCAGUCAGCAUACUGCGGUGAAUACGUUCCCGGGCCUUGUUACACACGUCCGUCACACCAUGGAAGUGGCCACGUCCCGAAGCCGUUACUUCACCCUUGUGAAGCAGACGUCGAAGUGGGGCUGAUGACUGGGGUGAAGUCGUAACAAGGUAGCCGUACCGGAAGGUGCGGCUGGAUCACCUCCUAACAGGGAGACAACACAAUGAUUUUGAU